RNAcentral lists this ribosomal RNA (492 nucleotides) under uncultured bacterium. RNAcentral describes it as "partial 16S ribosomal RNA". It matches the Rfam family "Bacterial small subunit ribosomal RNA", at positions 29 to 507 of the family's 1533-position model. The record is from RNAcentral.
AGUGAACGCUGGCGGUGGGCCUAACACAUGCAAGUCGAACGGAAGGACGGUAAGCUUGUGCCCCUACGGGUGGCGGGUGGCGGGCGGGUGAGGCAUGCAUAGCAAUCUACUUUGUCGGGGGUGAUAACGGAGGGAAACUGACGCUAAUACCGCAUACGUCCUACGGGAGGAAUCAGUGGUGAUUGGCGCCUUUGGUGUUUGAUUGAGCCGAUGCCGCAUUAGCUAGUUGGCGGGGUAACGGCCCACCAAGGCAACGAUCCGUAGCUGAUCUGAGAGGAUGAUCGGCCACACUGGAACUGAGACACGGUCCAGACUCCUACGGGAGGCAGCAGUGGGGAAUCUUGCACAAUGGGCGAAAGCCUGAUCCAGCCAUGCCGCGUGGGUGAAGAAGGUCUUCGGAUUGUAAAGCCCUUUUGUUGGGGAAGAACAACAGCAUGUUAAUCCCUCCACGUCUUGACGGUACCCAAUGAAUAAGCCCCGGCUAACUUCGUG